GACGAACGCUGGCGGCGUGCUUAACACAUGCAAGUCGAACGGAAAGGCCCUGCUUUUGUGGGGUGCUCGAGUGGCGAACGGGUGAGUAACACGUGAGUAACCUGCCCUUGACUUUGGGAUAACUUCAGGAAACUGGGGCUAAUACCGGAUAGGAGCUCCUGCUGCAUGGUGGGGGUUGGAAAGUUUCGGCGGUUGGGGAUGGACUCGCGGCUUAUCAGCUUGUUGGUGAGGUAGUGGCUUACCAAGGCUUCGACGGGUAGCCGGCCUGAGAGGGUGACCGGCCACAUUGGGACUGAGAUACGGCCCAGACUCCUACGGGAGGCAGCAGUGGGGAAUAUGGCACAAUGGGCGGAAGCCUGAUGCAGCAACGCCGCGUGCGGGAUGACGGCCUUCGGGUUGUAAACCGCUUUCGCCUGUGACGAAGCGUGAGUGACGGUAAUGGGUAAAGAAGCACCGGCUAACUACGUG
RNAcentral lists this ribosomal RNA (468 nucleotides) under uncultured bacterium. Its description in RNAcentral is "partial 16S ribosomal RNA". It matches the Rfam family "Bacterial small subunit ribosomal RNA", at positions 28 to 507 of the family's 1533-position model. The record is from RNAcentral.